AGUGAACGCUGGCGGUAGGCCUAACACAUGCAAGUCGAACGGCAGCACAGUAAGAGCUUGCUCUUACGGGUGGCGAGUGGCGGACGGGUGAGGAAUACAUCGGAAUCUACUUUUUCGUGGGGGAUAACGUAGGGAAACUUACGCUAAUACCGCAUACGACCUUCGGGUGAAAGCAGGGGAUCUUCGGACCUUGCGCGAUUGAAUGAGCCGAUGUCGGAUUAGCUAGUUGGCGGGGUAAAGGCCCACCAAGGCGACGAUCCGUAGCUGGUCUGAGAGGAUGAUCAGCCACACUGGAACUGAGACACGGUCCAGACUCCUACGGGAGGCAGCAGUGGGGAAUAUUGGACAAUGGGCGCAAGCCUGAUCCAGCCAUACCGCGUGGGUGAAGGAGGCCUUCGGGUUGUAAAGCCCUUUUGUUGGGAAAGAAAAGCAGCAGGUUAAUACCCCGCUGUUCUGACGGUACCCGAAGAAUAAGCACCGGCUAACUUCGUG
Molecule: ribosomal RNA, 492 nt
Filed under: uncultured bacterium
Lineage: Bacteria
Description: partial 16S ribosomal RNA
Rfam family: Bacterial small subunit ribosomal RNA
Source: RNAcentral